GUCCACUCUGGAGCAAAUAUUUAGUAACUACACCGGAGCCAGGAGCAAGACUUGUUUUAACCCAUGGUUUUACCUCCAAUCCCAGUUCACAAGCUUUCUUUGCAACCAAAGCAGCUCCAAGCAUUACACUAGGGUUUGAGGUAUUAGUGCAACUAGUAAUAGCAGCUAUAACCACAUCACCAUGCCUAAGUUGGGCGGGAGUCCCAUGAAAAUUGAACUCUGCAACCUUGCUUUGGGAUUGCUUUGGUAUAGCAAAUCCCUUAAAUCCAACCCUGUUGUCUAAGCAUGAAUGCCAAUCUGCUUUCAUUUCCUUCAAAGGAACCCGAUCAUGAGGCCUUUUUGGCCCUGAUACGCAAGGUUCCACAUCCUCAAGAUUCAAUUCUAGAUAUGAGGAGUAUACCCUAUCAAUCUGGGGCUCACCAUAGUCAACAAACAUCUUGUUAGCUCUUAAAUAGGAUUCUAUCAUAGAGACAGUUUCAUCACUUCUGCCGGUCAAUUUGAGAUAAUGCAGAGUAACAUGAUCCACAGGAAAAAAGCCCAUGGUUGCACCAUACUCAGGAGACAUGUUUGCAAUAGUAGCACGGUCUGCUAAUGAUAGUUCACCCAUGCCUUCGCCAUAGAACUCCACAAACUUGCCAACAACCCCAUGCUUCCUUAGCAUUUGUGUUACUGUCAAAACCAAAUCAGUGGCUGUAACACCAUCCCUUAGUUUUCCUGACAACUUAAACCCAACAACACCAGGCAGGACCAUGCUCAUGGGCUGGCCAAGCAUUGCAGCUUCUGCUUCUAUUCCACCAACUCCCCAACCAGCAACACCUAAUCCAUCUAUCAUAGUUGUGUGCGAAUCUGUUCCAACUACACUGUCAGGGUAAAGCAUACCCUUUGUGUUGAACACAACUCUUCCAAGGUAUUCCAAAUUGACCUGAUGGACUAUCCCAGAACCAGGGGGAACGACAAGCAUGUUAUGGAACGCAUUUGAACCCCAUUUGAGAAAGGCAAAUCUUUCUUUGUUCCUUUGAAAUUCGAGUUCCAUAUUAGCCUGCACCGCAUUUUCUGACCUUGCCACAUCAACCUGAACUGAGUGAUCAAUAACAAGAUCAACCGGAACCAGUGGGUUAAUCUUAUUAGAAUCACCUCCAAGGCUGUUCAUGGCAUCUCGCAUGCAGGCAAGAUCAACAACAGCAGGAACUCCAGUAAAAUCCUGAAGAAGCACUCUGGCAGGCUUAAAUGGGAUUUCAACUUGUUUAGGAGAAGUAUUCUUCCAGUCAAUAAUCUUCUCAACAUCCUUACUCUUAACCUGAAACUCAUCGCAGUUUCGAAUAGCAGACUCUAAAAGGAUCCUAAUUGAAUAUGGCAGCUUAUCGAUUCUGGGAUCGUUGAGAGCAGGCAAACUAUAGAACUUGCCGAAUUCACCACCAUCAGGUUUCUCAAGAGUCUUCAAUAUGCUAUUGAAAGGGUUUUCAUUCACUGAAAAUAACCGCACAUAAAAUCAAAACCAAAACAAAAACCAGAUUUAGUUAGUACAUAGUAAUAAAACUACGAAAUGGAAUGUAAAACAGAGCUCAUGGCUAGAUGAUUAGUCCGUAACUACCCAUGGCUACGAUAUUGGAUUUAGCGUUGCUAUGAAAACGACGAGUCGAAUUCGAUUGGUUAGACUGAGAGAGAUCUAAAGGAAAGCGAGAGAGAGGAACAGAGGCAGAUGGGUAGGUGAGGCUAAAGACUUGACGAAAGUCGAAGCAGAGUAUGUAUAUAUAUAUAAAUUUUCUUCAAGAUGAUACAUUGAAC
Molecule: unclassified non-coding RNA, 1785 nt
Filed under: Hevea brasiliensis (rubber tree)
Lineage: Eukaryota; Viridiplantae; Streptophyta; Magnoliopsida; Malpighiales; Euphorbiaceae
Source: RNAcentral